RNAcentral lists this ribosomal RNA (301 nucleotides) under uncultured bacterium. RNAcentral's name for it is "partial 16S ribosomal RNA". It matches the Rfam family "Bacterial small subunit ribosomal RNA", at positions 509 to 807 of the family's 1533-position model. The record is from RNAcentral.
CAGUCGCCGCGGUAAUACGUAGGUGGCAAGCGUUGUCCGGAAUUAUUGGGCGUAAAGGGCUCGCAGGCGGUUUCUUAAGUCUGAUGUGAAAGCCCCCGGCUCAACCGGGGAGGGUCAUUGGAAACUGGGAAACUUGAGUGCAGAAGAGAAGAGUGGAAUUCCACGUGUAGCGGUAAAAUGCGUAGAGGUGUGGAGGAACACCAGUGGCGAAGGCGACUCUCUGGUCUGUAACUGACGCUGAGGAGCGAAAGCGUGUGGAGCGAACAGGAUUAGAUACCCGCGUAGUCCCUGUCUCUUAUAC